GGCGGUGUAGCUCAGUGGUUAGAGCAUGCGGCUCAUAUCCGCAGCGUCGCUGGUUCGAGUCCAGCCACCGCCA
Molecule: transfer RNA, 73 nt
Filed under: Nitrospirota bacterium
Lineage: Bacteria; Pseudomonadati; Nitrospirota
Description: Nitrospirae bacterium tRNA-Met
Rfam family: tRNA
About the family: Transfer RNA (tRNA) molecules are approximately 80 nucleotides in length. Their secondary structure includes four short double-helical elements and three loops (D, anti-codon, and T loops).
Source: RNAcentral